Molecule: ribosomal RNA, 253 nt
Filed under: uncultured bacterium
Lineage: Bacteria
Description: partial 16S ribosomal RNA
Rfam family: Bacterial small subunit ribosomal RNA
Source: RNAcentral
UACGUAGGGUGCGAGCGUUGUCCGGAAUUACUGGGCGUAAAGAGCUCGUAGGUGGUUUGUCGCGUUGUUCGUGAAAUCUCACGGCUUAACUGUGAGCGUGCGGGCGAUACGGGCAGACUGGAGUACUGCAGGGGAGACUGGAAUUCCUGGUGUAGCGGUGAAAUGCGCAGAUAUCAGGAGGAACACCGAUGGCGAAGGCAGGUCUCUGGGCAGUAACUGACGCUGAGGAGCGAAAGCGUGGGGAGCGAACAGG